GAUGAACGCUAGCUACAGGCUUAACACAUGCAAGUCGAGGGGUAACGAGAGGAAAGCUUGCUUUCCUUGUCGACGACCGGCGCACGGGUGAGUAACGCGUAUCCAACCUGCCCCCAACUAGGGAAUAACCUUGCGAAAGUAAGACUAAUACCCUAUAAUUUCCUCAGAUGUCAUCUGACGAGGAAUAAAGAUUUAUCGGUUGUGGAUGGGGAUGCGUCUGAUUAGCUCGUUGGCGGGGUAACGGCCCACCAAGGCAACGAUCAGUAGGGGUUCUGAGAGGAAGGUCCCCCACAUGGGAACUGAGACACAGUCCAAACUCCUACGGGAGGCAGCAGUGAGGAAUAUUGGUCAAUGGGCGGAAGCCUGAACCAGCCAAGUAGCGUGCAGGAUGACGGCCCUAUGGGUUGUAAACUGCUUUUAUACAGGAAUAAAGUUAGCCACGUGUGGUUAUUUGUAGGUACUGUAUGAAUAAGGACCGGCUAAUUCCGUGCCAGCAGCCGCCGCGG
Molecule: ribosomal RNA, 506 nt
Filed under: uncultured bacterium
Lineage: Bacteria
Description: partial 16S ribosomal RNA
Rfam family: Bacterial small subunit ribosomal RNA
Source: RNAcentral